This 73-nucleotide transfer RNA is filed under the name Ailuropoda melanoleuca (giant panda). It matches the Rfam family "tRNA". From Rfam's summary of the family: Transfer RNA (tRNA) molecules are approximately 80 nucleotides in length. Their secondary structure includes four short double-helical elements and three loops (D, anti-codon, and T loops). Further hydrogen bonds mediate the characteristic L-shaped molecular structure. tRNAs have two regions of fundamental functional importance: the anti-codon, which is responsible for specific mRNA codon recognition, and the 3' end, to which the tRNAs corresponding amino acid is attached (by aminoacyl-tRNA synthetases). tRNAs cope with the degeneracy of the genetic code in two manners: having more than one tRNA (with a specific anti-codon) for a particular amino acid; and 'wobble' base-pairing, i.e. permitting non-standard base-pairing at the 3rd anti-codon position. Lineage: Eukaryota; Metazoa; Chordata; Mammalia; Carnivora; Ursidae. The record is from Rfam by way of RNAcentral.
ACCCGGCUGGCUCAGCUGGAAGAGCAUAUGACUCUUGAUUGUGCAGUCAUGAGUUCGAGCCCCAUGUUGGGUG